Long non-coding RNA from Oncorhynchus tshawytscha (Chinook salmon), 395 nucleotides. The record is from Ensembl. Lineage: Eukaryota; Metazoa; Chordata; Actinopteri; Salmoniformes; Salmonidae.
UGGUAGGCAGACGGUUGGUAGGCAGACGGUUGGUAGGCAGACGGUUGGUAGGCAGGUUCUACAAUGGUAGGCAGACGGUUGGUAGGCAGACGGUUGGUAGGCAGACGGUUGGUAGGCAGACGGUUGGUAGGCAGGUUCUACAAUGGUAGGCAGACGGUUGGUAGGCAGGUUCUACAAUGGUAGGCAGACGGUUGGUAGGCAGGUUCUGCAAAAGGCAUCCUGUAACUCAUAUAGCCUCCACAGUCCCCCUUGCGUGACUUUCCCUAGCAACAACAUUUUAAUAAAUCUAUCCUCCCCCUGACAAGUCUCAAGUCCAUAAUAUGCUCUUCACCAAAUAUAAUACCAUUUAAUAUUUUUCACAAGAGUAAUAGUUAGUAUAUUACAUUUCUGCAAAU